AAAGAAGAAAGGCUACAAUGGGGAGAAGAAUGAUAGACUGAGAACUCUCCUUCUGCUCUUUCCUUCUCUUUAAACUUGCUGGUCAUGUAAGGCCAGGGGAGAGGGGAGAAAGAGAAGGAUGAAAAACUUGGGUGGGAGGAAAUCUAUUUUGGAGUCAUCUCUCCAGGAUUAGAGAUAGAAAAGAUCACAGAAAGCAAUGGCUGCGUCUUUCCCUCCUCUAGCUUUCCAUCUCCAUAAAACCCAUAUAUCAACACAGUUCAGUGACCCUUUCACAGCAACGCUGGCAAGAGGGCUUGUGUUUCAACAGAGGAUGAAGCACCUGCAGAAAUAUGGAGAUGUGCACAGUAUCAGGAAAUAAUGUUCAGGUUGUUGAAUUGCCUGGUGUGGACCUGCUGCUGGAUUCUAGGCCAUCUCAUCCUGAGGGGCGCUGCUCUUACCGAAAGCUUGUACAUGAAGAAGCAACUUGUAUGACUGUCGUGCAACUAGUUUUGGGAGGUUAAUGAGAUCAGAUAAACCUCUCUGCAAGCAAGAACAGCUGGUACAAACACUGUCUAUAAUAAGAAGAGAACAAGUCAUGAAACUCACUGAACUGGGGGCUUUAAAUGCUCAGGUCCUGCAAAUUGCAGUGAACCAUGCAUAAGAAAAAUAGGUAAACACCAAAUGGAAGAAAUGUUCCUUUUGUCUGGUCUAGUCAAGAGCUGAGACCAAAGUCAACACAAGGACCUCGUUUUAGUCAUAAAACCCCUCAGUCUGUCUCAAUGGCUUCUUUGUUUUUGUUUUCCUCUUUACUGAGUAAUGUUGUUAUGUGCAACAAAGAAAGAUUUCAUGCAGUUUUCUUAAAUAUUAACUACUUAUGAUUUGAGGAGAAAUCACUAACCAUGGGCUUUGACUAAAUAACCUGCGCUAUAAGCCAAUGAAUGACACACACUCUCUCUUCUGAAAGGACAUCACAAUUAUCUUUUUUAU
Molecule: long non-coding RNA, 966 nt
Organism: Cygnus atratus (black swan)
Lineage: Eukaryota; Metazoa; Chordata; Aves; Anseriformes; Anatidae
Exons: 3
Source: RefSeq, a predicted model, not a curated record